AUGGCCGAAGCCUACGACCACCUCUUCAAGUUACUGCUGAUCGGGGACUCGGGAGUGGGCAAGACUUGUCUGAUCAUUCGCUUUGCAGAAGACAACUUCAACAACACUUACAUCUCCACCAUUGUAAUUGAUUUCAAGAUCCGCACUGUGGAUAUAGAGGGGAAGAAGAUCAAACUACAAGUCUGGGACACGGCUGACCAAGAGUGAUUCAAGACAAUAAGUACUGCCUACUACCGUGGAGCCAUGGGUAUUAUCCUAGUAUACGACAUCAUGGAUGAGAAAUCUUUCGAGAAUAUUCAGAACUGGAUGAAAAGCAUCAAGGAGAAUGGCUCGGCUGGGGUGGAACACCUCUUGCUAGGGAACAAAUGUGACAUGGAGGCCAAGAGGAAGGUGCAGAAGGAGCAGGCCGAUAAGUUGCCUCCAGAGCAAGGAAUCCGAUUUUUCGAAACUAGUGCUAAAUCCAGUAGGAAUGUGGAUGAGGCUUUUAGCUCCCUGGCCCAGGACAUCUUGCUCAAGUCAGGAGGCCGGAGAUCAGGAAACGGCAACAAGCCUCCCAGUACUGACCUGAAAACUUGCGACAAGAAGAACACCAGCAAGUGCUCCCUGGGCUGAGGACCCUUUCUCGCCCCCCCACCCUGGAAGCUGAACCUGAGGGAGACAGGGCAGAGGGAGAGAAGAGAAAAGGAAAAAGCAGAAAGGAAAAGAAGGAAGAGAGAGGAAGGGAGAAGGGAGAGGAAUGGAUUGAGGAAGUGAAAGAAGGUAAGGAGGUAGGAAGAGGGAGGAGGAAAGGAAGGGGAGAUGGCCUCAAGCUUCAGACCUUACCUGGGUUUUCAGGGCAAACAUAAAUGUAAAUACACUGAUUUAUUCUGUUACUAGAUCAGGUUUUAGGGUCCUGCAAAGGGCUAGCUCGGCACUACACUAGCGGAUUUGCUCCUGUUCUGUCAUUUUUCAUGGUCUUCCUUGGUUUUAAAGGCCGCCAUUUGCACA
This is an RNA transcript of Mandrillus leucophaeus (drill), 987 nucleotides long. It is a transcript of the gene named ras-related protein Rab-13 pseudogene, with no coding region annotated. The transcript is spliced from 2 exons. NCBI's taxonomy places the organism in Eukaryota, Metazoa, Chordata, Mammalia, Primates, Cercopithecidae. The record is from RefSeq and is a predicted model, not a curated record.